UACAGAGGGUGCAAGCGUUGAUCGGAAUUACUGGGCGUAAAGGGUGCGUAGGCGGAAUAAUAAGAUGGGCGUGAAAUCCCCGGGCUCAACCUGGGAACUGCGUUCAAGACUGUUAUUCUAGAGUGCGGUAGAGGGAAGUGGAAUUUCAGGUGUAGCGGUGAAAUGCGUAGAUAUCUGAAGGAACAUCAGUGGCGAAGGCGACUUCCUGGACUGACACUGACGCUGAGGCACGAAAGCGUGGGGAGCAAACAGG
This 253-nucleotide ribosomal RNA is filed under the name uncultured bacterium. Its description in RNAcentral is "partial 16S ribosomal RNA". It matches the Rfam family "Bacterial small subunit ribosomal RNA", at positions 524 to 776 of the family's 1533-position model. The record is from RNAcentral.